AAGAAUAGAUUCCUAAGAGCUGUAAACUGCAUGCAGAGCUUGCUCUGGAGGACAUCAGAGGUUAGAUUACAUUAAAUAAUAAUAGUAAUAGUACUAAGGAUAGUAGUAGUAUAAGCCUGUUCUCAUUAAAUGGGGAGAGUGGGGCACAGGUUUUCUGAAUCCGCAGCUGAUGACCUCCUCAGUGAUUUCUCUUCCACUCUGCAUUGCCUUCUCUCUCUCCAAGCUUGUUAUACUGAAUCUUCACUUCCUGGAAAGAUUCUCUUGGAUUACUAAACAUGGAGGGAAAAGCACUUAAACCUGGCUUGGAGAAAGAGAAGAGAGGAGAGUCAUAUUCAAGGACUGUACUCUAAAUAUUCCUCCAAUAACAACAGCUUCUUGCAGAAACUCAGGUCAGAUGUCUUCAGGCUACAGCGCAGUGGAAUAAAAACAUCGUCCAGCUCUCAUUGAAUGGGGAAUUUAUCAGGCUGUAUUUUAAAA
Molecule: long non-coding RNA, 477 nt
Filed under: Equus caballus (horse)
Lineage: Eukaryota; Metazoa; Chordata; Mammalia; Perissodactyla; Equidae
Description: lncRNA (ENSECAG00000056363.1)
Source: RNAcentral